RNAcentral lists this ribosomal RNA (253 nucleotides) under uncultured bacterium. RNAcentral's name for it is "partial 16S ribosomal RNA". It matches the Rfam family "Bacterial small subunit ribosomal RNA", at positions 524 to 776 of the family's 1533-position model. The record is from RNAcentral.
UACGUAGGGCGCAAGCGUUGUCCGGAAUUAUUGGGCGUAAAGAGCUCGUAGGCGGUCUGUUGCGUCCGCUGUGAAAACCCGGGGCUUAACCCUGGGCUGGCAGUGGAUACGGACAGACUAGAGGUAGGUAGGGGAGAAUGGAAUUCCCGGUGUAGCGGUGAAAUGCGCAGAUAUCGGGAGGAACACCGGUGGCGAAGGCGGUUCUCUGGGCCUUACCUGACGCUGAGGAGCGAAAGCUAGGGGAGCAAACGGG